This is a long non-coding RNA of Humulus lupulus (European hop), 307 nucleotides long. RefSeq lists it as uncharacterized. NCBI's taxonomy places the organism in Eukaryota, Viridiplantae, Streptophyta, Magnoliopsida, Rosales, Cannabaceae. The transcript is spliced from 3 exons. The record is from RefSeq and is a predicted model, not a curated record.
GUGCAGGUUCAGCAGCAGGUUAUUGAAGUUGUUACUUUCAUAGCCUCUUCGUCAACCAAAUUUGCUAAGAAGUGUGUAGUGCUUUGCCUUCUGGGUAUAAGUGAGCGUGUCGCUGACAUCAAGACUCGUGCUCAUGCCAUGAAGUGCCUUACUACUUUUUGUGAAGCUGUAGGUCCUGGAUUUAUUUUUGAAAGACUUUACAAGAUACUGAAAGAGCACAAGAAUCCUAAGGUUCUUAGCGAGGGGCUACUGUGGAUGGUUUCAGCAGUGGAAGAUUUUGGCAUCUCACAUUUGAAAUUUAAGGUUU